RNAcentral lists this ribosomal RNA (1458 nucleotides) under uncultured Bordetella sp. Its description in RNAcentral is "partial 16S-23S ribosomal RNA intergenic spacer". It matches the Rfam family "Bacterial small subunit ribosomal RNA". Lineage: Bacteria; Pseudomonadati; Pseudomonadota; Betaproteobacteria; Burkholderiales; Alcaligenaceae. The record is from RNAcentral.
GGGUUCGAUUCUGGCUCAGAUUGAACGCUGGCGGAGUGCUACAUACAAGUCAGAACGGGCAGUACUGACUUCGGUCUGGUGGCGAGUGGCGAACGGGUGAGUAAUGUAUCGGAACGUGCCUAGUAGCGGGGGAUAACUACGCGAAAGCGGAGCUAAUACGCAUACGCCCUUCGGGGAAAGCGGGGGACCUUCGGCCCUGCACUAUUAGAGCGGCCGAUACUGGAUUAGCUAGUUGGUGGGGUAACGGCUCACCAAGGCGAUUAUCCGUAGCCGGUUUGAGAGGACGACCAGCCACACUGGGACCGAGACACGGCCCAGACUCUACGGAGGCAGUGGGGAAUUUUGGACAAUGGGGGAACCCUGAUCCAGCCAUCCUCAUGUGGGUGAUGAAGGCCUUCGGGUUGUAAAGCACUUGUGCAGGAAAGAAACGGUGGCCGAUAAUACCCUGUGCAACUGACGGUACCUGCAGAAUAAGCACCGGCUAACUACGUGCCAGCAGCCGCGGUAAUACGUAGGGGUGCAAGCGUUAAUCGGAAUUACCGCUAAGCGUGCGCAGGCGGCUCGAAAGAAAGAUGUAAAACUCCGGAGAGCCAACUUUGGAACUGCAUUUUUAACUACCGAGCUAGAGUGUGUCAGAGGAGGUGGAAUUCCGCGUAGCAGUGAAAAUGUAGAUAUGCGGAGGAACACCGAUGGCGAAGGCAUUUCCUGGGAUAACACUAUCGCUCAUGCACGAAAGCGUGGGAGCAAACAGGAUUAGAUACUCCUGGUAGUCCACGCCCCAAACGAUGUCAACUAGCUGUUGGGCCUGGGCCUUGGUAGCGCAGCUAACGCAAGUUAACGCCUUGGGGAGUACGGUCGUAAGACAAAACUCAAAGGAAUUGACGGGGACCCGCAAGCGGUGGAUGAUGUGGAUUAAUUCGAUGCAACGCGAAAACCUUACCUACCCUUGGAUAUGUCUGGAAUCCGAAGAGAUUUGGGAGUGCUCGCAAGAGAACCGGAACACAGGUGCUGCAUGGCUGUCGUCAGCUCGUGUCGGAGAUGUUGGGUUAAGUCCGGCAACGAGCGCAAACCCUUGUCAUUAGUUGCCGCGAAAGGGCACUCUAUCGAGACUGUUUGCGACAAACCGGAGGAAGGUGAUGACGUCGGCGUCCAUGGCCCUUGCGGUAGGGCUUCACACGUCAUACAAUGGUCGGGACAGAGGGUCGCUAACCCGCGAGGUGAGCUUUUUCAAUCCCAGAACCCGAUCGUAGUCCGGAUCGCAGUCUGCAACUCGACUGCGUGAAGUCGUAAUCGCUAGUAAUCGCGGAUCAGCAUGUCGCGGUGAAUACACCGUGGGUCUUGUACACACCGCCCGUCACACCAUGGGAGUGGGUUUUACCAGAAGUAGUUAGCCUAACCGUAAGGAGGGCGAUUACUACGGUAGGAUUCAUGACUGGGGGUGAAGUCGUAACAAGGUAA